RNAcentral lists this ribosomal RNA (415 nucleotides) under uncultured eukaryote. RNAcentral describes it as "bacterial SSU rRNA". It matches the Rfam family "Eukaryotic small subunit ribosomal RNA", at positions 592 to 1013 of the family's 1831-position model. The record is from RNAcentral.
CAAUAGCGUAUAUUAAAGUUGUUGCGGUAAAAAGCUCGUAGUUGGAUUUCUGUUGAGGACGACCGGUCCAUACCACGUAUGCGCAUCUGGCUCGGCCUCGGCAUCCUCUCGCAAGACGUUUCUGCGCUUGAUUGCGUGGGGCGGAUUACGGGACUUUUACUUUGAAAAAUUAGAGUGUUCAAAGCAGGCGAUCGCUUGAAUACAUUAGCAUGGAAUAAUAGAAUAGGACUUUGGUUCUAUUUUGUUGGUUCUAGGACCGAAGUAAUGAUUAAUAGGGACAGUUGGGGGUGCAUUAGUAUUUAAUUGUCAGAGGUGAAAUUCUUGGAUUUAUGAAAGACUAACUACUGCGAAAGCAUUUGCCAAGGAUGUUUUCAUUAAUCAAGAACGAAAGUUAGGGGAUCGAAGACGAUUAGAU